Molecule: ribosomal RNA, 405 nt
Filed under: uncultured bacterium
Lineage: Bacteria
Description: partial 16S ribosomal RNA
Rfam family: Bacterial small subunit ribosomal RNA
Source: RNAcentral
GACGAACGCUGGCGGCGUGCUUAACACAUGCAAGUCGAACGAGUGGCGAACGGGUGAGUAAUGUAUGGGGAUCUGCCCGAUAGAGGGGGAUAACUACUGGAAACGGAGCUAAUACCGCAUACUAUCGGAUGAACCCAUAUGGGAUUAGCUAGUUGGUGUGGUAAUGGCUCACCAAGGCGACGAGCCCUAGCUGGUCUGAGAGGACGACCAGCCACACUGUGACUGAGACACGGCCCAGACUCCUACGGGAGGCAGAAGUGGGGAAUUUUGUACAAUGGGGGAAACCCUGAUCCAGCCAUCCCGCGUGUAUGAUGAAGGCCUUCGGGUUGUAAAGUACUUUUGGCAGAGAAGCGGUAUGUGAAGAAUAAGCACCGGCUAACUACGUGCCAGCAGCCGCGGUAAUUG